Apodemus sylvaticus (European woodmouse) is the source of this 2656-nucleotide long non-coding RNA. RefSeq lists it as uncharacterized. Lineage: Eukaryota; Metazoa; Chordata; Mammalia; Rodentia; Muridae. The transcript has 3 exons. The record is from RefSeq and is a predicted model, not a curated record.
UGAACGGCUCUGCCUUGUCUUCCCCGCCAUGAUGGACUGAGUCUCUCCUAAUGAUGAACAAAAAUGAGCCUUUCCAACCUUGUUUCUGCCAGGCGUUCCUGACGUGAGAAGCGAUAUGGUAGUUUUAAACACAAUAGAGAACACAUAAAAGGAAAAAAAAAAUCAAGAAAACAAGAGGAGAACACCGCGAGCCGAUGGGGUGGUGGGUAAUCAAGACCGGAAGUAGGCAAGGGACUGAGGAGGGCCUGGUGCGCAGGCCCAGCAUCGUGUUCUUGUGAGAGCAUGGAAAGCAGUGAUAACGAAGCGAUCUGUCUGCCUUCAGACCUUCUUGGUGACUUAGUCUGCCGGAGACUGGUGAUGCUGCCGCACACUCCCUCCUCAUUGGCUGGAUCAGAAACCAACAUCUGUGAAGCCUCUUUGUCAUCGAUGUCUUUAUUUCUGCUUUAGUGGGACGAGGAAGCUGGUGCAGAAUCUCUAAGCAACUUGUGUGAAGUCUCAGGAGUCACAGAUGAUGCCGCAGGCGGCGUCCAAGCAGUCUGGUCUCAGAGGAGCGUGAUGUAAGCGUCUGCCCCACGCCUCUCAUUGCUGGUGGGCCGGCCUUUCAUACAACCACUGUCACGACCCACAUGGGACAACGGGACGAGCCUGCCUGGACUUUCCCCUCAUUCUGCGUGGACCCUGUCUAAGGGAUGGAAAUCUGCUGCUGUUACUGAGUGUGCCCUUUCCUCUCAGGGCCUGAGGGGUGACGUCUGUGCAGACAGUUGUGUGGACUGCCCAGGUCCACAGGUGUUAUGUCUGGUGUUGGCUUGAGUAGCUGUCUGACCAAUAAAAUCAAACCCUUUAGCUGUAACAUCAGAUGCACACGAUGCAGGUGGGGCCAUGGAUGUACACAGUGACCCCUGCACAGGCUGUGGAAUCAGAGGCUGUCCUUACAGUUUUCUUUUAGGUAGGGUCUUAUUGUGUAGCCCAGGCUGACUUGUUACUUGCUAUGUAGACCAGGCUGGCCUGGAACUCACAGAGAUCCACCUGCCUCUGCCUCUGGAUUGGGGGGAUUAAAGGAAUGUCCUGGCAGGUGGAGCUACACUCACCUUAUGUAGACAUUUAAAGAUUAGACAGAUAUGUAUGAUUAGUAAACAUUGUGUUUUUACAUAACUAGUUAACCACAGUUGAUUUAAACUGGAGAUGCAGGGCCUAGAAGGCUGUAGUUUUGGUCAGAAGGGCCACAGGUGUUACCAGAUGGCUCCCUCUGGCCAGUCACCAGGCCUGUCACCACUCUGAUUUGUAUCAAUUCUCCCUCAUGGCUGAUACAUUUGCUGAUUUUACCAGGUCCUUGAAGCUAUUUUAUAAUAUUGUUGCCUUAAAUUUUUUAUGCAAUUCUACAAGAGUUCAGAUAUUGCUUAGAAUUCAGGGUUAGAUUUAAAUUUAUUUUAACAUGUGCUAUCUUUUAGUUAGCAUAUAUGGUGUCAUAUUGGACUUUUAGUAUUAUUUUCCUUAUAUAUAUUUUUAAUUACACUGGGUUUUUCUAUGUAGUUCUUCAUGGCCUGACAUGUGCUGUUAGACCAGAAUAACUCCAAACUCAUGGUAAUCCUCCUCUUUCAACUUUGUAAGUGCUGGAUCACAGGUGCAAACCACCACACCUGGCAAUCAUCAUCAUCAUCAUCAUCAUCAUCAUCAUCAUCAUUAAAGUUUCAAGCUGGACUCCAGAUCCUGUUUACAUCUUUAGCUUCAUGAAGCCGUUCCAGGAGCACUGUGGUGGUUUUUAGAACCAGUCUAUAAGGUGUGAAGUUUGCUGUGGCUCGCAGUCCACAGGUGUCAGCCCAUAGUUCCUUGGCUCUAUUUCCUUUGGGUUGCAGUGCGGCAGAUCAUCAUGGUGGGACACAGAGGGAAAGACUGCUCAUCUUAGGACAACCUGGAAGGAAGGAAGAGGCCAGAGCCUCUACAUCCCCAACACAUCCAAUGACGGAUUCCCUUCUAGGUUCUGCCUCCUAAAGCUUCUGCCUUCUCUCAGUAAUGUCCUGGGCAGCAGCCACGCCUUUGAUAGGUGGAUUCUCGGUAGCCAUUCACCAGAGGCUGUAAGGCAGAGCGUGGUGCAUGUUCAGGUUACCAUAGGUCACACAGAUGUUAACAAGUUACAUCUGCUCAAACCGCUGCCUGUGGUGCACAUUUCUUCUGCAAGUGAAGUUGAAUCUUCUGAAGCUCAGAUGGCCUGUGUACUGGCUGGUUUUGUGUCAACUUGACACAGGCUGGAGUUAUCACAGAGAAAGGAGCUUCAGUUGGGGAAGUGCCUCCAUGAGAUCCAGCUGUGGGGCAUUUUCUCAAUUAGGGAUCAAGGGGAGAGGACCCCUUGUGGGUGGUGCCUUCUCUGGGCUGUAUUCUUGGGUUCUAUAAGAAAGCAGGCUGAACAAGCCAGGGGAAGCAAGCCAGUAAGAAACAUCCCUCCAUGGCCUCUGCAUCAGCUCCUGCUUCCUAACCUGCUUUAGUUCCAGUCCUGACUUCCUUUGGUGAUGAACAGCAGUGUGGAAGUGUAAGCUGAACAAACCCUCUCCUUCCCAACUUCUUGGUCGUGACGUUUGUGCAGGAACAGAAACCCUGACUAAGACAGCAUGUCUGUGCUCGCUCUGCUGUCUAUGUGCCUCUGGCUUUUCUAAAAUGUUAC